This 478-nucleotide ribosomal RNA is filed under the name uncultured bacterium. RNAcentral describes it as "partial 16S ribosomal RNA". It matches the Rfam family "Bacterial small subunit ribosomal RNA", at positions 28 to 523 of the family's 1533-position model. The record is from RNAcentral.
GACGAACGCUGGCGGCGUGCUUAACACAUGCAAGUCGAACGGUAAGGCCCUUCGGGGUACACGAGUGGCGAACGGGUGAGUAACACGUGGGUGAUCUGCCCUGCACUUCGGGAUAAGCCUGGGAAACUGGGUCUAAUCCCGGAUAGGACAUCUGCCUGCAUGGGUGGUGGUGGAAAGCUGUUGCGGUGUGGGAUGGGCCCGCGGCCUAUCAGGUUGUUGGUGGGGUGAUGGCCUACCAAGGCGACGACGGGUAGCCGGCCUGAGAGGGUGACCGGCCACACUGGGACUGAGAUACGGCCCAGACUCCUACGGGAGGCAGCAGUGGGGAAUAUUGCACAAUGGGCGCAAGCCUGAUGCAGCGACGCCGCGUGAGGGAUGACGGCCUUCGGGUUGUAAACCUCUUUCAGCACCGACGAAGCGCAAGUGACGGUAGGUGCAGAAGAAGGACCGGCCAACUACGUGCCAGCAGCCGCAGUAA